This 495-nucleotide ribosomal RNA is filed under the name uncultured bacterium. RNAcentral describes it as "partial 16S ribosomal RNA". It matches the Rfam family "Bacterial small subunit ribosomal RNA", at positions 28 to 505 of the family's 1533-position model. The record is from RNAcentral.
GAUGAACGCUGGCGGCGUGCCUAAUACAUGCAAGUCGAGCGAACAGACGAGGAGCUUGCUCCUCUGACGUUAGCGGCGGACGGGUGAGUAACACGUGGAUAACCUACCUAUAAGACUGGGAUAACUUCGGGAAACCGGAGCUAAUACCGGAUAAUAUAUUGAACCGCAUGGUUCAAUAGUGAAAGACGGUUUUGCUGUCACUUAUAGAUGGAUCCGCGCCGCAUUAGCUAGUUGGUAAGGUAACGGCUUACCAAGGCAACGAUGCGUAGCCGACCUGAGAGGGUGAUCGGCCACACUGAAACUGAGACACGGUCCAGACUCCUACGGGAGGCAGCAGUAGGGAAUCUGCCGCAAUGGGCGAAAGCCUGACGGAGCAACGCCGCGUGAGUGAUGAAGGUCUUCGGAUCGUAAAACUCUGUUAUUAGGGAAGAACAAAUGUGUAAGUAACUAUGCACGUCGUGACGGUACCUAAUCAGAAAGCCACGGCUAACGACG